AUGGCCCGCAAGGGUACAGGUAAGGGUGAAAGGGUGCGGUAAGAGCGCACCGCGCGGCUGGUAACAGUCCGUGGCACGGUAAACUCCACCCGGAGCAAGGCCAAAUAGGGGUUCACAUGGUGCGGCCCGCACUGAACCCGGGUAGGCUGCUUGAGCCAGUGCGUGAGUGCUGGCCCAGAGGAAUGAUUGUCCACGACAGAACCCGGCUUAACGGCUGACUCCUCAC
This 226-nucleotide RNase P RNA is filed under the name Morganella morganii subsp. morganii. RNAcentral describes it as "partial RNase P RNA component class A". It matches the Rfam family "Bacterial RNase P class A", at positions 130 to 367 of the family's 367-position model. Rfam says of the family: Ribonuclease P (RNase P) is a ubiquitous endoribonuclease, found in archaea, bacteria and eukarya as well as chloroplasts and mitochondria. Its best characterised activity is the generation of mature 5'-ends of tRNAs by cleaving the 5'-leader elements of precursor-tRNAs. Cellular RNase Ps are ribonucleoproteins. The record is from RNAcentral. Lineage: Bacteria; Pseudomonadati; Pseudomonadota; Gammaproteobacteria; Enterobacterales; Morganellaceae.